RNAcentral lists this ribosomal RNA (497 nucleotides) under uncultured bacterium. RNAcentral's name for it is "partial 16S ribosomal RNA". It matches the Rfam family "Bacterial small subunit ribosomal RNA", at positions 28 to 507 of the family's 1533-position model. The record is from RNAcentral.
GAUGAACGCUGGCGGCGUGCCUAAUACAUGCAAGUCGAGCGAACAGACGAGGAGCUUGCUCCUCUGACGUUAGCGGCGGACGGGUGAGUAACACGUGGAUAACCUACCUAUAAGACUGGGAUAACUUCGGGAAACCGGAGCUAAUACCGGAUAAUAUAUUGAACCGCAUGGUUCAAUAGUGAAAGACGGUUUUGCUGUCACUUAUAGAUGGAUCCGCGCCGCAUUAGCUAGUUGGUAAGGUAACGGCUUACCAAGGCAACGAUGCGUAGCCGACCUGAGAGGGUGAUCGGCCACACUGGAACUGAGACACGGUCCAGACUCCUACGGGAGGCAGCAGUAGGGAAUCUUCCGCAAAGGGCGAAAGCCUGACGGAGCAACGCCGCGUGAGUGAUGAAGGUCUUCGGAUCGUAAAACUCUGUUAUUGGGGAAGAACAAAUGUGUAAGUAACUAUGCACGUCUUGACGGUACCUAAUCAGAAAGCCACGGCUAACUACGUG